UUGUGGCCUUCCUUUCAAACCGUCCUUCAUUAGUCCAUCCCUCACCAUCAGCACCACCGCUCCUGUGAUAUCAAUUCAUCAUGGUUUUAAUGCAGUACCUGUCAAGGUGGUUGCAGAGGUCAAAGUAGCAAUUGACAGCUCCAGCGAAGGGACCACAUUUACUGCUUUUGGCUCGGCACAGCGGGAUGCAACAACAAACGUGAAGCAUGGCGGGAUUGUUUGCUUGUACAACAGUACUGUUGUCACAGUGUAUGCCCCCAAUACAGACUAAGGGAGCUUGUUCUAUCCCGGAAGCAUGCAAGCAUUUGACGGUCCGGAUGUCCUUGCGGACGUAAAAACAGGGUCAGUAAUUGUGAAGGCAUGGAGUGAAUUCGACUUCCCAGAGCCAGAUUUUGACGAUGACUGGAAGAGUAUUGAUGUUAAAGAUGAAGCAACGACUUUCCGACAACUAGAGCAUGGGAUCGACGGACUCCCACACCUUGUAGUGGUACAGAUCAAGGGCGAUGACUCCCCCGAUGGCUUGAUUUCGGAAGCU
Molecule: long non-coding RNA, 535 nt
Organism: Pecten maximus
Lineage: Eukaryota; Metazoa; Mollusca; Bivalvia; Pectinida; Pectinidae
Exons: 3
Source: RefSeq, a predicted model, not a curated record